This 1050-nucleotide long non-coding RNA is filed under the name Papio anubis (olive baboon). RNAcentral's name for it is "lncRNA (ENSPANG00000050488.1)". The record is from RNAcentral. Lineage: Eukaryota; Metazoa; Chordata; Mammalia; Primates; Cercopithecidae.
GUGAUAAUGGUUUGAUUUGUUUCACUUUAUAUGUCUACUACAGGUUUCUUUUUCUUUGUGAUCACCAUGAGACUUACCUAAAACAUCAUAUAACAGCCUGUUUUAAGCUGACAACAACUUAACUUGGUUCACAAAAAUUCUACACUUUCACUUCUCCCCCAUUUAUGUUUUUGAUAUCAUAGUUUACAUAUUUUUAUAUUGUGUAUCCAUUAACAAAUUAUUAUAGCUAGAAUUAUUUUUAUGACUUUCAUCUUUUAACUUUUAUACUAGAGUUAAAAAUGAUUACAUACCACCAUUACAAUAUUACAAUAUUCUUAAUUUGACUAUAUACUCAGUGUUACCAGUGAGUUUUAUACUUUCAUAUAUUGUCUUUUUUUUUUUAAAAAAAAGUUAUUUUUCUUAUGGGGACGAUCUCUAGAAUCUAGGAAGUCUCUGGGUCUGAGGGAUGGAAAGUUCUUCCUGCUAUGAAUGAGAGUGGACUCUUCCCCUCACUCCCAACUGAAACCACCAACACCCAGAAUCUUCUAGGAUUCUGACUUAGAGUCCUUGUUAUAGAAGACCUUGUUGCUAUGGAACAUGAAACUGUGUCUGUCAGAUGGAGAGAUUCCCUUAAGAGCCUUAAAUAGCCCUGAAAGUACACCGGGACAGUUUGCAAUGGAAUUAAAAUUAAAAAAACUGCCCUGGAGAGGCUAGCUGCUGCUCUUUCAUUUCCCCGCAUCAGGAUAUUCACGUCACUGAGUGGAGAUGAUUCCAGAUGUGUUUAAAGACUGGAUAAUUCACCUAUACUGUGUAAGAAAUUACCUCCUUAAUUACCUGGUAGAAUUGUCAGCAGACAUGUUCAUCUGAUGAUAGUACCGCAGUUUUCUAUUAAUAAUUUGCAGACUUUUAUCUAACCUACACUCAUGUACAGAUUAUUAAAAGUUUUAAAAUGUAACUGAUCAGUAUUGAUCAAUCAUUGUCUUGAUUUUUUUUACAGUGUAUAUUUCUAAUAAUAUUUUUUAAAGCCAAGAGAACUGGUUGAAUGAGUGUUUAUUUUCCUGAAGGUAUUUU